UUUUUAUAUAAUUAUAGGUUAAAUUUUAAUUAUUUAAAAUGUAUAGUUAUAAUUUUAAAUUUUGUUAAUCGAAUUAGAUUAGUACCUAAUUAGUCAAAAGUUAAAAAAGCAGAAGUAAAGUAAAAUUUAAACUGAAAGAAUAUUGGCAGAUUUUCUAAAUUAUCUUUGGAGGUUGAGUAAUAAUUGAGAACCCUCAUUAACUACUUUUUUAGUUGUCUCAUGUAUGAUCGUUUAUUAUAUGCUUAAGGGAUAUAAUUAAAAAUUUUUAUUUAAAAAAAUAGAUAUAUAUUUGGUUUAUAUAAAAGUAAUAUUUGACCUACAGUAAUUUGUAAUUGUGGAUCUAUUUUUUAGUAAAGUAGUGAAAAUGUAAAAGACAGUAAAAAAAUUUUUAUGAUUUUUUGAAGAUUAU
RNAcentral lists this ribosomal RNA (409 nucleotides) under Uncinaria lucasi. RNAcentral describes it as "partial 12S ribosomal RNA". Lineage: Eukaryota; Metazoa; Nematoda; Chromadorea; Rhabditida; Ancylostomatidae. The record is from RNAcentral.